GGCUUGUUGGUGUAGUUGGUUAGUACCCUCAUUUCCAUCAGCCACAAGAGGUCGCCAGAUCGAGCCUGGCACAAGUCA
This is a non-coding RNA of Talaromyces islandicus, 78 nucleotides long. The record is from the annotation of a GenBank genome assembly. Lineage: Eukaryota; Fungi; Ascomycota; Eurotiomycetes; Eurotiales; Trichocomaceae.